GAUGAACGCUGGCGGCGUGCUUAACACAUGCAAGUCGAACGGAAAGGCCCAAGCUUGCUUGGGUACUCGAGUGGCGAACGGGUGAGUAACACGUGGGUGAUCUGCCUUGCACUUCGGGAUAAGCCUGGGAAACUGGGUCUAAUACCGGAUAGGACCACAUUUUGGAUGGUGUGGUGGAAAGUUUUUCGGUGUGGGAUGAGCUCGCGGCCUAUCAGCUUGUUGGUGGGGUAAUGGCCUACCAAGGCGUCGACGGGUAGCCGGCCUGAGAGGGUGUACGGCCACAUUGGGACUGAGAUACGGCCCAGACUCCUACGGGAGGCAGCAGUGGGGAAUAUUGCACAAUGGGCGCAAGCCUGAUGCAGCGACGCCGCGUGGGGGAUGACGGCCUUCGGGUUGUAAACUCCUUUCGCUAGGGACGAAGCGUUAUGUGACGGUACCUGGAGAAGAAGCACCGGCUAACUACGUG
RNAcentral lists this ribosomal RNA (466 nucleotides) under uncultured bacterium. RNAcentral's name for it is "partial 16S ribosomal RNA". It matches the Rfam family "Bacterial small subunit ribosomal RNA", at positions 28 to 507 of the family's 1533-position model. The record is from RNAcentral.